GAUGGGGACAACAGCUGGAAACGGCUGCUAAUACCGAAUACGAUCAAACGGCCGCAUGGCCGGAUGAUGAAAGGAUGGCCUCUAUAUAUAAGCUAUCGCCGGAGGAGGGGUUUUGCGUCUGAUUAGCUGGUUGGAGGGGUAACGGCCCACCAAGGCGACGAUCAGUAGCCGGUCUGAGAGGACGAACGGCCACAUUGGAACUGAGACACGGUCCAGACUCCUACGGGAGGCAGCAGUGGGGAAUCUUCCGCAAUGGGCGAAAGCCUGACGGAGCAACGCCCGCGUGAGUGAAGACGGCCUUCGGGUCGUAANGCUCUGUUAUAUGGGACGAACGUAUCUAUGGCCAAUACCCAUAGAUAGUGACGGUACCGUAAGAGAAAGCCACGGCUAACUACGUGCCAGCAGCCGCGGUAAUACGUAGGUGGCAAGCGNUGUCCGGAAUUAUUGGGCGUAAAGGGCGCGCAGGCGGCCGGUCAAGUCUGUCUUAAAAGUGCGGGGCUCAACCCCGUGAUGGGACGGAAACUGGCAGGCUGGAGUGUCGGAGAGGAAAGCAGAAUCUCCUAGUGUAGCGGUGAAAUGCGUAGAUAUUAGGAGGAAUACCAGUGGCGAAAGCGGCUUUUCUGGACGACAACUGACGCUGAGGCGCGAAAGCCAGGGGAGCAAACGGGAUUAGAUACCCCGGUAGUCCUGGCCGUAAACGAUGGGUACUAGGUGUAGGAGGUAUCGACCCCUUNUGUGCCGGAGUUAACGCAAUAAGUAUCCCGCCUGGGGAGUACGGCCGCAAGGCUGAACUCAAAGGAAUUGACGGGGGCCCGCACAAGCGGUGGAGUAUGUGGUUUAAUUCGACGCAACGCGAAGAACCUUACCAAGCCUUGACAUUGAUUGAACGAGGCAGAGAUGCCUUUUUCCUCUUCGGAGGACAAGAAAACAGGUGGUGCACGGCUGUCGUCAGCUCGUGUCGUGAGAUGUUGGGUUAAGUCCCGCAACGAGCGCAACCCCUAUCUUCUGUUACCAGCACGUAAGGGUGGGGACUCAGGAGAGACUGCCGCAGACAAUGCGGAGGAAGGCGGGGAUGACGUCAAGUCAUCAUGCCCCUUAUGGCUUGGGCUACACACGUACUACAAUGGCUCUCAAUAGAGGGACGCGAAGGAGCGAUCCGGAGCAAACCCCAAAAACAGAGUC
This 1182-nucleotide ribosomal RNA is filed under the name Megasphaera sueciensis. Its description in RNAcentral is "16S ribosomal RNA". It matches the Rfam family "Bacterial small subunit ribosomal RNA", at positions 136 to 1287 of the family's 1533-position model. The record is from RNAcentral. Lineage: Bacteria; Bacillati; Bacillota; Negativicutes; Veillonellales; Veillonellaceae.